Molecule: small nuclear RNA, 105 nt
Organism: Lepus europaeus (European hare)
Lineage: Eukaryota; Metazoa; Chordata; Mammalia; Lagomorpha; Leporidae
Source: RefSeq, a predicted model, not a curated record
GUGCUCACCUUAGCAGCACAUAUACUCAAAUUAGAACCAAAAUGAGAAAAUUAGCAAGGCCCUGUGCAAGGUGACAUGCAAAUUAGUGAAGCAUUCCAUAUUUUU